CGUGGGUAACCUGCCCAAGAGAUCGGGAUAACACCUGGAAACAGAUGCUAAUACCGGAUAACAACAGAUGAUGCCUAUCAACUGUUUAAAAGAUGGUUCUGCUAUCACUCUUGGAUGGACCUGCGGUGCAUUAGCUAGUUGGUAGGGUAACGGCCUACCAAGGCGAUGAUGCAUAGCCGAGUUGAGAGACUGAUCGGCCACAUUGGGACUGAGACACGGCCCAAACUCCUACGGGGCAGCAGCC
Molecule: ribosomal RNA, 244 nt
Filed under: uncultured Lactobacillus sp.
Lineage: Bacteria; Bacillati; Bacillota; Bacilli; Lactobacillales; Lactobacillaceae
Description: partial 16S ribosomal RNA
Rfam family: Bacterial small subunit ribosomal RNA
Source: RNAcentral